RNAcentral lists this ribosomal RNA (428 nucleotides) under uncultured bacterium. Its description in RNAcentral is "partial 16S ribosomal RNA". It matches the Rfam family "Bacterial small subunit ribosomal RNA", at positions 354 to 796 of the family's 1533-position model. The record is from RNAcentral.
GUGGGGAAUAUUGGUCAAUGGGGGAAACCCUGAACCAGCAACGCCGCGUGAAGGAAGAAGGCUUUCGGGUUGUAAACUUCUUUUACCAGGGACGAAACAAAUGACGGUACCUGGUGAAUAAGCCACGGCUAACUACGUGCCAGCAGCCGCGGUAAUACGUAGGUGGCGAGCGUUAUCCGGAUUUAUUGGGUGUAAAGGGCGUGUAGGCGGGACAGCAAGUCAGAUGUGAAAACCAGAGGCUCAACCUCUGGCCUGCAUUUGAAACUGUUGUUCUUGAGUGUCGGAGAGGUAAUCGGAAUUCCGUGUGUAGCGGUGAAAUGCGUAGAUAUACGGAGGAACACCAGUGGCGAAGGCGGAUUACUGGACGAUAACUGACGCUGAGGCGCGAAAGCGUGGGGAGCAAACAGGAUUAGAAACCCGAGUAGUCC